This 77-nucleotide transfer RNA is filed under the name beta proteobacterium KB13. RNAcentral describes it as "tRNA-Pro". It matches the Rfam family "tRNA". From Rfam's summary of the family: Transfer RNA (tRNA) molecules are approximately 80 nucleotides in length. Their secondary structure includes four short double-helical elements and three loops (D, anti-codon, and T loops). The record is from RNAcentral. RNAcentral also lists the same sequence under 6 other names. Lineage: Bacteria; Pseudomonadati; Pseudomonadota; Betaproteobacteria; Nitrosomonadales.
CGGGGCGUAGCGCAGUCUGGUAGCGCACUUGUAUGGGGUGCAAGGGGUCGUGAGUUCGAAUCUCACCGUUCCGACCA